GACGAACGCUGGCGGCGUGCCUAACACAUGCAAGUCGAACGGGGUUGCCCUUCGGGGCAACUUAGUGGCGAACGGGUGAGUAACGCGUGAGGAACCUGCCUUCCAGUGGGGGACAACAGUUGGAAACGACUGCUAAUACCGCAUAACACAACGAGACCGCAUGAUCUUGUUGUCAAAGCUUUAUGUGCUGGAAGAUGGCCUCGCGUCUGAUUAGCUAGUUGGUGGGGUAACGGCCUACCAAGGCGACGAUCAGUAGCCGGACUGAGAGGUUGAACGGCCACAUUGGGACUGAGAUACGGCCCAG
Molecule: ribosomal RNA, 304 nt
Filed under: uncultured bacterium
Lineage: Bacteria
Description: bacterial SSU rRNA
Rfam family: Bacterial small subunit ribosomal RNA
Source: RNAcentral